Molecule: transfer RNA, 72 nt
Filed under: Candidatus Riflebacteria bacterium RBG_13_59_9
Lineage: Bacteria; Candidatus Rifleibacteriota
Description: tRNA-Met
Rfam family: tRNA
About the family: Transfer RNA (tRNA) molecules are approximately 80 nucleotides in length. Their secondary structure includes four short double-helical elements and three loops (D, anti-codon, and T loops).
Source: RNAcentral
GGCGGCGUAGCUCAGAGGCAGAGCAAACGGCUCAUAACCGUUGAGUCGGCGGUUCGAUUCCGCCCGCCGCUA